Molecule: long non-coding RNA, 1757 nt
Filed under: Canis lupus familiaris (dog)
Lineage: Eukaryota; Metazoa; Chordata; Mammalia; Carnivora; Canidae
Description: lncRNA (ENSCAFG00845023763.1)
Source: RNAcentral
AACGCAGAGCCUGAUGUGGGGCUUGAUCCCACCAACCCAAGAUCAUGACCUGCACCAAAAUCAAGAGUUGGACACUUAACCAAUUGAGCCACCCAGGUGCCCCUUUUAUGUGGAAUCUAAAAAACAAUACAAAACAAAAACAAAAACAAAAAAACAAAAAACAAAAAAUAAAUAAAAAAUAAAAAACAAAACAAAAUAAACAUGCACAAAAAAACCCAGAAACAGACUCAUAAAUGCAGAGAACAAACAGGUGGUUGCCAGAAGGAGGGAGGAUUGAGGGAUGGAUGAAAUAGGUGAAGGGGGCUAAGAGAUCCAAACUUCCAUUUAUAAAAUAAGCAAGUCACAGGGAUGAAAAAUACAGCAUAGGGAACAUAACAAUAAUAUUAUAUUAUUGUAUGGUGACAGAAAGUAACUAUACUUCUCAUGGUGAGUAAUGUGUAAUGUAUAAAUUGUCUAAUCACUGUAUUAUUCACAUGAAACUAAUACACUGUCAACUAUACUUCAUUAAUAAAAAGAGUAUAUUUUUUAAAAAGAACAUUAAAACAAGAUACUAAUAUCUUAAUAUUAUCUGCAGUAUAAAGACUUGAAUUAGAGUAGAUGAUCCUUAAAUCAUUCCUAGAUUUCUGACCUCUGAAUUUUAGUCUUUAUUUCUUUUACACAUUUAAUCAACUCUCAGAGUCAGUUCUGCUGUAAUACUUGUUUUGAAAAUGAGAAUUUUUAUUAUAUGUUAAUGUAUGUAAUAUACAUAUUAGAAACCAAACAUAAAGCAAAUGGUGCAUUUGCUUAUGUGCCAUUUCUUUCUAGAGAAGCAUUAGAUGAAUGCAGAAAAGUGCAGCCAGCUGAAAGGCACUUAAGACUACCUAAAAUGCACAUGUGUAUGCAUCCCAGUCACCUGUAGACUUAAUUUAUCUGUGUAUUAUGAGCUACACCUAUGCACAUUUGGUGUUAUAGCUUUGUGUUUAAUAUCAGAUUACCCUCAUACCAUACAAGAUGCAUCCCUUUCUGCACCCAAUUCUAGUCAAACUCUAGGUUUUUAAUGAGAUAAAAGUGCCAUACUGAUAGUAGUUUUGAUUGUAUAUUUUAACUAUUUAACCUGUAUAAAACUGCUACCAUUUUUAUUAAGAUCCUGCUUUUUAAAAAAACAUCAUUGGUAUCCUUUUGGGGUGCCUUACCCCUAACCACAUGUUUUGCAUAAAUAAAAACCCUAUGGUUUUUAUUGCAUGAUUUGCAUAGCAUAGAGGUUUUUAGGAACAAGUAUGUUUUGUUACAGCAGAACUGGCUGUAAUGGAUUUUGGCAUCAUAAAAUUCUUGGUGGCAAGGUGCAGAGAACAGUUAGUGUAUCCUAGGAUUGUUUUCUGUGAAUGUUGUCAACUUAGCAUGCUUUGUCCUACUUUGCAUUUUUUUUCUAGUGCCUCUAUAGGAAUGCCUUGGAAUAAUCAUUUCUCAAACCUCAAAACCUUAGGGAAAGUUUUAUGACAUUCUCAAAACUGAAGACUACUGUGAAUGAUUAGAUACUUGGUUGAACUCUAGAAAUAAGAAUUUUGUUGUCUUGGCUAAUUAAUAAUUAAAGUUAUUGGAUAUAUAAUUUUUAACAGAUUCUAAGGUUCAGAUUAAAAUAUGGCUAUGGUGGGGUACCUGCCUAGCUAGUCAGGAGGCCAUGUGACUCUUGAUCUUUAGGUUGUGACUUCAAUCCCCAGGUAUGAUGUGAAGUUCACUUAAAAAAUUUGUUUUAAAUAAAAAAAAAAAAAAAAAAAAAA